GAUGAACGCUGACAGAAUGCUUAACACAUGCAAGUCGAUGGGGAAGUGGUGCUUGCCCCAUGGCAACCAUGGCGGACGGGUGAGUAACGCGUAAGGGACUUACCUGCAGGACUGGGAUAACAGGGGGAAACUCCUGACAAGACCGGAUAAUGUCAUGGAGCUGCAUGGCUUUAUGAUGAAAGGAGACGCCUGCGGAGAGCCUUGCGUCCUAUUAGCUAGUUGGUGAGGUAAUGGCUCACCAAGGCGAAGAUAGGUAGCCGGCCUGAGAGGGUGGACGGCCACAAGGGGACUGAGAUACGGCCCUUACUCCUACGGGAGGCAGCAGUGGGGAAUAUUGGACAAUGGGGGCAACCCUGAUCCAGCAAUUCUGUGUGCACGAAGAAGGUUUUCGGAGUGUAAAGUGCUUUCAGCAGGGAAGAAGUAAGUGACGGUACCUGCAGAAGAAGCGACGGCUAAAUACGUG
RNAcentral lists this ribosomal RNA (463 nucleotides) under uncultured bacterium. RNAcentral describes it as "partial 16S ribosomal RNA". It matches the Rfam family "Bacterial small subunit ribosomal RNA", at positions 28 to 507 of the family's 1533-position model. The record is from RNAcentral.